CCUACGGGCGGCAGCAGUGAGGAAUAUUGGUCAAUGGGCGAGAGCCUGAACCAGCCAAGUAGCGUGAAGGAUGACUGCCCUACGGGUUGUAAACUUCUUUUAUAAAGGAGUAAAAUGCGUCACGUGUGCCUUUUUGUCUGUACUUUAUGAAUAAGCAUCGGCUAACUCCGUGCCAGCAGCCGCGGUAAUACGGAGGAUCCGAGCGUUAUCCGGAUUUAUUGGGUUUAAAGGGAGCGUAGAUGGGAUGUUAAGUUAGUUGGGAAAGUUUUCGGCUUAACCAUAACAUUGCAAUUGAUACUGGCAGGCUUGAGUACAGUCGAGGUAGGCGGAAUUAGUGGUGUAGCGGUGAAAUGCUUAGAUAUAACGAAGAACUCCGAUAGCGAAGGCAGCUUACCAAACUGCCUCUGACAUUGAUGCUCGAAAGUGUGGGUAGCAAACAGGAUUAGAUACCCGUGUAGUC
Molecule: ribosomal RNA, 460 nt
Filed under: uncultured bacterium
Lineage: Bacteria
Description: partial 16S ribosomal RNA
Rfam family: Bacterial small subunit ribosomal RNA
Source: RNAcentral